This 253-nucleotide ribosomal RNA is filed under the name uncultured bacterium. Its description in RNAcentral is "partial 16S ribosomal RNA". It matches the Rfam family "Bacterial small subunit ribosomal RNA", at positions 524 to 776 of the family's 1533-position model. The record is from RNAcentral.
UACGGAGGGUGCAAGCGUUGUCCGGAUUUAUUGGGCUUAAAGGGUGCGUAGGCGGCUUAUUACGUCAGGGGUGAAAGACUGCAGCUCAACUGUAGCAGUGCCUUUGAUACUGAUGAGCUUGAGUACAGAUGAGGCUGGCGGAAUGGGUGGUGUAGCGGUGAAAUGCAUAGAUACCAUCCAGAACACCGAUUGCGAAGGCAGCCGGCUAAGCUGUAACUGACGCUGAGGCACGAAAGCGUGGGGAUCGAACAGG